AAUAUCAUCAUCAUCAUCAUCAUCCUCGUAGCUGGUCUAACCACCACACAAACCGGUCGCCCGCUUUGCCGCGUACCGGCGCCAUCACCCGGAUCGCCGACGAUCUCCGGCGAAAACGACGGCUCGGGCAUCUAAUCCGCAGCUGCUUUUGUCGCCUUCGCCUGGCGCGCGGCACUCUUCCGACCCCCGCCCGCCUUUCCCGUCGCUAGAUAUAGAGCUGCUCCUUGGUGCGCGUACAGGCCGGGCAGGGCAGUUCAUGGCCUGCCACGCGCGCGGGAAGAAGAUUAAAAACACACGAUCUUGGUCUUCUUUCUUGGUUCCGCGUCAUGGUUGUCGAGGGGAAUGACGCCGGGUCCGAAAGAGAGACGCGCGCAUGGCGUGCGUGUGGCGCGUUUCGGACCAGGCUUCAUUCCCCAUGACUCCAUCAUGGUUCAGGUUCACGGACUCGGUCGGCAUCGGCCGGUGUUCUUGUGAGCUCCGCCUGUGCCUCCCUCCGUGUGGUCUGAAGCACAGCAGACGACCCCCCGCAACUAGCGAAGUAGACUUGCUCUGGUCUGGACAUUGAGCGAGCCGGCUGACCGGCCGACGCACGGACAUGCAUGGAGGCUGUGCAAAGUAAAGCUUGCUUGCUCUGCAACUCAACUGAGCAUCGAUGCAGCUUCAGCGAUACAUGACAACCACCCACUACCAGCUACAUAUCCUCUUAUCUCCUUGGCUAAUUUCAGGCUGAUGAUGAUUGGAAUAGGGAAGGAUAUCUUCAAGAUGCGGUGCGCGCAUGGCAGAUGGGUCGACAUAAAUCAACUCCAGAGCAACUAUGCUUACAGUUACAGCAAAGCAAAGAGAGGAACCACAGUUUGAUCAGGUAGUCCAAGACCACCAAAAGCUAUCAGCCUGUCUUCAGAAUGUAAGCUGGAUCCUGCAAUGUCAGAGCCUGCAUGCUGCAAGUGUCAGAUUUAGGUGCAAACAUUCAGCAUCAAGGCAACUGCAAUCACAAGUUUGUAACACCACGUAAUGGCUGCGGCACCGUUAAAUUAACUCCAGAUGCUGCUUUGAUUUCA
Long non-coding RNA from Aegilops tauschii subsp. strangulata, 1058 nucleotides. RefSeq lists it as uncharacterized. The record is from RefSeq and is a predicted model, not a curated record. NCBI's taxonomy places the organism in Eukaryota, Viridiplantae, Streptophyta, Magnoliopsida, Poales, Poaceae.